CCUACGGGAGACAGCAGUGAGGAAUAUUGGUCAAUGGGCUUACGCCUGAACCAGCCAAGUCGCGUGAGGGAAGACGGCCCUAUGGGUUGUAAACCUCUUUUGUAAGGGAGCAAAGCGGGCUACGUGUAGCCGGACGGAGAGAACCUGAAGAAAAAGCAUGGGCAAACUCCUGGCCCGCAGCCGCGGUAAUAGGGAGGAUGCGAGCGUUAUCCGGAUUUAUUGGGUUGAAAGGGUGCGUAGGCGGUCGGAUAAGUUAGAGGUGAAAUCCCGUGGCUCAACAUCGGAAUUGCCUCUGAUACUGUUCGGCUAGUGCGUAGUUGCGGUCGGCGGAAU
RNAcentral lists this ribosomal RNA (333 nucleotides) under uncultured bacterium. RNAcentral's name for it is "partial 16S ribosomal RNA". It matches the Rfam family "Bacterial small subunit ribosomal RNA", at positions 338 to 667 of the family's 1533-position model. The record is from RNAcentral.